ACUCCUACGGGAGGCAGCAGUGGGGAAUAUUGCACAAUGGGCGCAAGCCUGAUGCAGCCAUGCCGCGUGUAUGAAGAAGGCCUUCGGGUUGUAAAGUACUUUCAGCAGUGAGGAAGGUGGGUAUGUUAAUAGCAUACUCAUUUGACGUUAGCUGCAGAAGAAGCACCGGCUAACUCCGUGCCAGCAGCCGCGGUAAUACGGAGGGUGCGAGCGUUAAUCGGAAUUACUGGGCGUAAAGCGCAUGCAGGUGGUUUGUUAAGUCAGAUGUGAAAGCCCGGGGCUCAACCUCGGAAUUGCAUUUGAAACUGGCAAACUAGAGUACUGUAGAGGGGGGUAGAAUUUCAGGUGUAGCGGUGAAAUGCGUAGAGAUCUGAAGGAAUACCGGUGCGAAGGCGGCCCCCUGGACAGAUACUGACACUCAGAUGCGAAAGCUGGGGAGCAAACAGGAUUAGAUACCCUGGUAGCUCUGC
Molecule: ribosomal RNA, 470 nt
Filed under: uncultured bacterium
Lineage: Bacteria
Description: bacterial SSU rRNA
Rfam family: Bacterial small subunit ribosomal RNA
Source: RNAcentral